UACGGAAGGCAGCAGUGGGGAAUAUUGCACAAUGGGCGCAAGCCUGAUGCAGCCAUGCCGCGUGUAUGAAGAAGGCCUUCGGGCUGUAAAGUACUUUCAGUCGUGAGGAAGGUGUUAAGGUUAAUAACCUUAGCAAUUGACGUUAGCGACAGAAGAAGCACCGGCUAACUCCGUGCCAGCAGCCGCGGUAAUACGGAGGGUGCGAGCGUUAAUCGGAAUUACUGGGCGUAAAGGGCACGCAGGCGGUUAAUUAAGUUGGAUGUGAAUCCCCGGGCUUAACCUGGGAAUGGCAUUCAAGACUGGUUAGCUAGAGUCUUGUAGAGGGGGUAGAAUUCCAUGUGUAGCGGUGAAAUGCGUAGAGAUGUGGAGGAAUACCGGUGGCGAAGGCGGCCCCUGGGACAAGACUGACGCUCAUGUGCGAAAGCGUGGGGAGCAAACGAGGAUUAGGAUACC
Molecule: ribosomal RNA, 453 nt
Filed under: uncultured bacterium
Lineage: Bacteria
Description: bacterial SSU rRNA
Rfam family: Bacterial small subunit ribosomal RNA
Source: RNAcentral